Phyllostomus hastatus (greater spear-nosed bat) is the source of this 190-nucleotide small nuclear RNA. RefSeq annotates it as U2 spliceosomal RNA. The transcript has a single exon. The record is from RefSeq and is a predicted model, not a curated record. Lineage: Eukaryota; Metazoa; Chordata; Mammalia; Chiroptera; Phyllostomidae.
AUUGCUUCUCGGCCAUUUGGCAAAGAUCAAGUGUAGUUACCUGUUCGUAUCAACUUUAGUAUCUGAUAUGUCCUCUACGUGAGGACAAUUUAUUAGGUGCAUUUCUGGAGCAGUGAGAUGGAAGAGCGUGCUCUGCCCACUCUGUGCAAUGACCUGGUACCACAGUACUUCGGGGGAUGGUGCAUACACA